RNAcentral lists this transfer RNA (91 nucleotides) under Annulohypoxylon truncatum. RNAcentral's name for it is "tRNA-Glu". It matches the Rfam family "tRNA". From Rfam's summary of the family: Transfer RNA (tRNA) molecules are approximately 80 nucleotides in length. The record is from RNAcentral. Lineage: Eukaryota; Fungi; Ascomycota; Sordariomycetes; Xylariales; Hypoxylaceae.
UCCGAAUUGGUGUAGUGGCUAACAUUUGACGCUCUCAUGGCAUACUGUCCUAAGGUCCGUCAAGCCCGGGGUUCGAUUCCCCGAUUCGGAG